UUGUUAUAAAUAAUAUUCAAAAAUAAGGAAAUAGAAGUGAAAUUUCUAAAUUAAAACCUCGCGAUUGCGAUGUUCUUAAAAUGUUGAGUGUUUGGGAUUGUUUUGUUGUGAAAUUUUAUUAUGCUGAGGUAAUAAUUUUCCAUGAUCUACAUCAUGUUUAAUUGCAUCAGAUUUGUUGAUACAGCAUGUUAUGUGCCUGUGUCUGAUUUAUUUAAUCUGAGCUAAUAAUGUGAAGCAACUAUGACUAGUAUUGACAAGUGGCUCAUUUUAAGUACCCUUACACCAGACAUUUUACUAAAUGUAAAAUUAGCAUGUGUGUUUGGAAGCUCAGGAAAUGAAGCCAUAAUUGUAACCAAGGAUGGUGAUGUGUAUGCACUUGGUUCAAACUGCAGUGGAUGUCUUGGUCUAGGGGACUCUGAAGGAAACCUUUGGCCAAAGAAAGUGGAUUCUUUAUGCAAAAGAGGUAUAAAAGACCUGGCCUAUGGAAGUGGACCUCAUGUAUUAGCCAUUACUGAAAGUGGGGACCUGUAUAGCUGGGGGCAUAACGGUUACUAUCAGCUGGGAAAUGGAAACACUAAUCAAGGAUUGAACCCUGGACUUGUCACUACAAACCUUAGUGGACUUAAAAUAGUAGAAAUUGCUUGUGGAAGUCAUCAUUCUGUAGCCCUCACUUCUAAUGGUGAGGUUUAUGCUUGGGGACAAAACAGUUAUGGCCAAGUAGGAUCAGGUUCAACAACAAAUCAACCUACACCUCGGAAAGUAGCAGCUGGAAUUGGUGCUAGACAGUGUAUUACCAUAGCUUGUGGACAGACAUCUUCAAUGGCUGUGCUGGAUAAUGGAGAGGUAUAUGGCUGGGGCUACAAUGGAAAUGGGCAGUUGGGACUAGGGAACAAUGCUAACCAAUCUAUUCCAUGUCAAGUUACACAUCUACAGGCAGUAGUAAUACAGAAGAUAGCCUGUGGAUAUGCACAUACUUUGGCUCUGUCAGAUGAAGGGGUAUUGUAUGCCUGGGGAGCCAAUUCAUAUGGUCAGUUAGGCACUAGGAAUAAGGCUAAUCAAGUAACACCAGUUAGAAUUGCUGCUGAAUUUGGGAGAAUUGUGGAAAUUGCUGCCUCUCACUACAACCACAUUUCAGCAGCUUUGACUCAGGCAUGUAAAGUGUACAUGUGGGGACAGUGUCGGGGUCAGUCUGUAACUGUUCCUGAGGUGACUUCCUUUCACUGCUUGCACGAUGUCUUUGCUUGUUUUGCAUCUCCUGCUGUCACCAGCCAACCUAUGGAACUAGAUGUUUGUAUGGUGAAUACAGUAGGAGAUAGCCUUCAACAAGCAUUUGAUGAUCCUAGUAUGAGUGAUUUGAAGUUUUCUAUAGAAGGAAAAGUUGUGCAUGUUCACAAGGCCAUUCUAAAAAUAAGAUGUGAACAUUUUCGUUCCAUGUUUCAAACACACUGGGGAGAAGAUGAGAAAGAAACUAUUGAGAUUACACAGUUUUCUUAUCCUGUGUAUCGAGCUUUUCUAGGUUAUCUUUAUACUGAUAAAGUGGAUUUACCCCCAGAAGAUGCCAUUGGUUUACUGGACCUAGCUAACUCAUACCAUGAAUUACAGUUAAAACGAUACUGUGAGCAAAUCAUCAAACAUAACAUCCAUGUAGAUAAUGUAGCUAUGUUGUAUGUGGCUGCAAUCAAAUAUGAAGCAAAGGAUCUGGAAGAUUUUUGUUUCCGUUUUGCUGUAAACCACCUAACAGCUGUAGCCCAGACAGAUGCUUUUGAUAAGUUUGAUGAGUUGACAGUUAAAAAGUUUAUCUUCAAAGCUGCUCAGCAAGGGGCUUUUAAGUACUGAACUAUAUACAGGACUAUGGAUGUAGUAGGCCUCAUAACAUGAGCUGUUGAUUACUGAGUUAUGCAGAUCCUGGUAGCUGAGUUUGCAUGUGUGGUAUCGUACUUCAUGGCCUGGGAUCUGUGUGAUGUCCUCCAUAUUGAUUGACAUUUCCCUAAUAUGUGAUAGAGUCGAUUUUAUGCACAUGCAAUGAGUUGGGGCGAAGUUGGAAGGCUUGGUUUCUGUAAAUAUCACCUUAAUGUUGGUCCAACACUCUGGGAUACUUGUACCGUCCUAGAGGAACCAUUACAACUUCACUGAGCACCAAUGUAAUACAAAAUUAGAGAAACUAACAAACUGAUAUGAAAUGUAUAUUACCAUUGAAUUAUGAAAAUAUA
This 2210-nucleotide unclassified non-coding RNA is filed under the name Limulus polyphemus (Atlantic horseshoe crab). Its description in RNAcentral is "rCC1 and BTB domain-containing protein 1-like, transcript variant X5". Lineage: Eukaryota; Metazoa; Arthropoda; Merostomata; Xiphosura; Limulidae. The record is from RNAcentral.